UACAGAGGGCGCAAGCGUUGUUCGGAUUCACUGGGCAUAAAGAGCACGUAGGCGGCUACGUAAGUCGGAUGUGAAAUCCCCCGGCUCAACCGGGGAAUGGCAUCCGAUACUGCGUGGCUCGAGGUUGGGAGGGGUGAGCUGAACUCCAGGUGGAACGGUGAAAUGUGUAGAUAUCUGGAGGAACACCGGUGGCGAAGGCGGCUCACUGGCCCUAAUCUGACGCUGAGGUGCGAAAGCUAGGGGAGCGAACGGG
Molecule: ribosomal RNA, 253 nt
Filed under: uncultured bacterium
Lineage: Bacteria
Description: partial 16S ribosomal RNA
Rfam family: Bacterial small subunit ribosomal RNA
Source: RNAcentral